This 486-nucleotide ribosomal RNA is filed under the name uncultured bacterium. RNAcentral describes it as "partial 16S ribosomal RNA". It matches the Rfam family "Bacterial small subunit ribosomal RNA", at positions 30 to 507 of the family's 1533-position model. The record is from RNAcentral.
AUUGAACGCUGGCGGCAUGCCUUACACAUGCAAGUCGAACGGCAGCACGGGUGCUUGCACCUGGUGGCGAGUGGCGAACGGGUGAGUAAUACAUCGGAACAUGUCCUGUAGUGGGGGAUAGCCCGGCGAAAGCCGGAUUAAUACCGCAUACGAUCCACGGAUGAAAGCGGGGGACCUUCAGGCCUCGCGCUAUAGGGUUGGCCGAUGGCUGAUUAGCUAGUUGGUGGGGUAAAGGCCUACCAAGGCGACGAUCAGUAGCUGGUCUGAGAGGACGACCAGCCACACUGGGACUGAGACACGGCCCAGACUCCUACGGGAGGCAGCAGUGGGGAAUUUUGGACAAUGGGCGAAAGCCUGAUCCAGCAAUGCCGCGUGUGUGAAGAAGGCCUUCGGGUUGUAAAGCACUUUUGUCCGGAAAGAAAUCCUUGACUCUAAUACAGUCGGGGGAUGACGGUACCGGAAGAAUAAGCACCGGCUAACUACGUG